This 536-nucleotide non-coding RNA is filed under the name Neisseria zoodegmatis. RNAcentral describes it as "bacterial LSU rRNA". It matches the Rfam family "Bacterial large subunit ribosomal RNA", at positions 2154 to 2689 of the family's 2925-position model. The record is from RNAcentral. Lineage: Bacteria; Pseudomonadati; Pseudomonadota; Betaproteobacteria; Neisseriales; Neisseriaceae.
GCUUAGAAGCAGAGACGCCAGUUUCUGUGGAGCCGUCCUUGAAAUACCACCCUGGUGGCCUUGAGGUUCUAACCCAGGCCCGUGAUCCGGAUCGGGGACCGUGCAUGGUAGGCAGUUUGACUGGGGCGGUCUCCUCCCAAAGAGUACCGGAGGAGUUCGAAGGUUACCUAGGUCCGGUCGGAAAUCGGACUGAUAGUGCAAUGGCAAAAGGCAGCUUAACUGCGAGACCGGCAAGUCGAGCAGGUGCGAAAGCAGGACAUAGUGAUCCGGUGGUUCUGUAUUGAAGGGCCCUCGCUCAACGGAUAAAAGGUACUCCGGGGAUAACAGGCUGAUUCCGCCCAAGAGUUCAUAGCGACGGCGGAGUUUGGCGCCUGGAUGUCGGCUCAUCACAUCCUGGGGCUGUAUUCGGUCCAAAGGGUAUGGCUGUUCGCCAUUUAAAGUGGUACGUGAGCUGGGUUUAAAACGUCGUGAGACAGUUUGGUCCCUAGCUGCAGUGGGCGUUGAAAGUUUGACGGGGGCUGCUCCUAGUACGAGAG